ACGUAGGAGGCGAGCGUUAUCCGGAUUUACUGGGCGUAAAGCGCGUGCAGGCGGUGCGAUAAGUCGUGCGUGAAAGCUCCCAGGCUUAACCGGGAGAGGACGUGCGAGACUGUCGGACUAGAGGCAGGUAGAGGCAAGUGGAAUUCCGGGUGUAGUGGUGAAAUGCGUAGAGAUCCGGAGGAACCCCGGUGGCGAAGGCGGGUGCCUGGGCGACGACUGACACUGAGGGACGAAAGCGUGGGGAGCGAACAG
RNAcentral lists this ribosomal RNA (252 nucleotides) under uncultured prokaryote. RNAcentral describes it as "partial 16S ribosomal RNA". It matches the Rfam family "Bacterial small subunit ribosomal RNA", at positions 525 to 775 of the family's 1533-position model. The record is from RNAcentral.